AGGAUGAACGCUGGCGGCGUGCCUAAUACAUGCAAGUCGAGCGGUAACACUUCGGGUGACGAGCGGCGGACGGCUGAGUAACACGUAGGAACGUACCCCAAAGUGAGGGAUAAGCACCGGAAACGGUGUCUAAUACCGCAUGUGCUCUUCGGAGUAAAGCUUCGGCGCUUUGGGAACGGCCUGCGCAUGAUUAGCUUGUUGGUGAGGUAAAAGCUCACCAAGGCGACGAUCAUUAGCUGGUCUGAGAGGAUGAUCAGCCAGACUGGGACUGAGAACGGCCCAGACUCCUACGGGAGGCAGCAGUAGGGAAUUUUCCACAAU
This 321-nucleotide ribosomal RNA is filed under the name uncultured bacterium. RNAcentral describes it as "SSU rRNA". It matches the Rfam family "Bacterial small subunit ribosomal RNA", at positions 26 to 372 of the family's 1533-position model. The record is from RNAcentral.